Numida meleagris (helmeted guineafowl) is the source of this 2331-nucleotide long non-coding RNA. RefSeq lists it as uncharacterized. Lineage: Eukaryota; Metazoa; Chordata; Aves; Galliformes; Numididae. The transcript has 2 exons. The record is from RefSeq and is a predicted model, not a curated record.
AAAGCACUUGUCACUUCUCUGCAGUUCAGGAUAGGAAAGAGAAACAACAAGGUUCUGGCUGUUAAGACACCAUAUAGUUCCUGUGCUCAUGAAGUAGCUACAAACUUCUGAUGCAUAUGCAGUAUUCCUCAAUGAGCCUACCACAAAGCAUCUUGCUGAAGGUGUUGUAAAAGUACAAAUUAAUGUAAUAUGGUUUUCUAUUACACACUACAUCGACAGCUUCAAAGUCUUCAGCAAAGGCAAUACGAGCUAAUACUAUUGAAGGAUGAUAAAACUGUUGCUCAUGAUUCAGAAACAGGAGAACUACCAAUUAAAUAUUUAUUUUCUAAUUCAACAAGAAUGAAAUUCUACAUUUUACUCUUACAAAGACAGUGAAAUAUACAGAGGCGAGUUGUGGAAUGUGCUACAGUUUGAACUUGGGCAGGAACAGUUGUUCUUGCAAGGGGUUGUGUUGGACUCUAAGUGCAUGAUGACUAGGUGAGCUUAUGCAGCCUGAUCUGAAGCCAUAAUAUUUUUUAGAUUCUGACUUGUGUAAUUCAAGUCUUUAAACACAGAUGAAAUUUAACUGCUAUGUAGAACUUGAUCCUGAAGAAGAACUUGAUCCAGAACUUGAUCCUGAAGAAGACAAUUCCCAAGAAUCAGUCAAGGAAUUUUUUUUUAUUAGCUUUUGGGAUUAUGUAGCAUUAUUUGUAUAUGUACUUUGGUCAUGAACAUCUUCGUAAGAUCACUCCAAGAGGUUGAAUGCUGCUGUCAGUUAAGGUGUUACUUUUGACUUAUUAGCAAAAUACAUAGUAUCCUGUAUGAGGUAAUUUGAGUUAAUUAGAAAUAUCUUGCUUGGCUUUUUGGGUGCUAAAUGUUGGUUAAUGUUGAGAGUAUUCUUCUGAAGAGGUACACCAUCCAUCCAGAUUAAGCUUUUAAUUCAAUCUUUACAUUCUAACUGGAAGCUUGCACUGCACUGAAAUGGUCAUGCAGUGUAUUAAAUGCUCACUGCAAAACUCUUUGUCAUAGGAUGUAGCAGCAAAGUAAAAAUUGUUUCAGAAAAGGGACUGAUCAAGUGCAUGGAGGAUGAGACCAUGAGAAACAACUGCAUAUGAUGUUUGGACACAAUCUACGGCAUAGUAAGUCCCUACAGUGCUGACUGUCAGAGAUAGGGAUGACACAUGAUGGAAAAGAUGAUCCUACAAAUGCUACAGUUCAAGCAGUGUCACUUCAAGAUUUUUCAGUAUGUCUGUUCUUAUGUAUCCGUGUGAUCAAAUAAAUCAUUACAAAUAUAGCAGGUUGGAGGGAAAACUAACAGUCCAACAACAGGCAACUGUCAAUCGGUAAGAACAAUUAAAAUUAUCUUGGCAGUUCCAAUCAUCUGUUGCAGCAGUUGUUAAUGGAAUGUCCCUAUGAACAGUCACUCAAAGAGGAAUACACAGCUCUGAAAAGCACAACUGAGGAAUAAUAGAAAUACAGAGCUAGAAGGCCAUCAAGAUGUCAUUUACUUGUUCAAAGCAAGCUCUGACAAAAGUUUGUCUAAACUAGUUUUUAAAGCCUCCUGUGAUGGACUGGAAGACCAUGAUAAUUCCUCCUGGCUGUAAAGUCUCAUUAAUCUACUAGACUUCAGAGAACUGCUUUUUCUUUGAAGAAACCAGGCUGGUUAGAACCUUUGAUAUCUUCAUCUUCCAGAUGUUUUAUUAAUUUAGUUUUAAUCAUCAUUUCAUGUUAGGCUUACUAGUCUAAGACAUUGAGUAUUAUCAUUGUAAGCACCAUCUGUCACCUUAUUCCAGCAAGAAAAUUCUUCAGAUUCUUUUCUGAAGCCAUCCUGUUUUGUGUCAAAAGGAAACAGCAAAUUCACAGGAGUAAAAAAAAAAAAAAAAAAGACCAAGGAAGAAGACUGCUGCUGCAUGGGCCUGAAGGAGCACUAUGGAUAAAUAACAAUAUACAGAUGAUUUAGGUGAGGACUGAGGUCUAAAGAUCCUGAGGAAAUAUAAUAAAGUAACAAUGAAGAAAAGUGAGGGGAAAAGGAAAUGCUGACUGAGCAGAAGGAGACUAUAGUAAGAAGAGAUUGUGAAAGUGCUGUCCUCCCAGGAUGUUUGCUGUGGGGCUCCAUAUCCUCUCAUUUCCAGAUGAAAACAAACUGGAUCUUUGGGCUCAGCCAUGAUAAGUUUAUCUUGCCUUGUGAGGAACAAGGAUUCUGAGCAAGAGAUCUUGAGAUGAAUAGGCAUAAUAAUUGUGUGUUUCUGAGCUUCCUUGGAAAAUCUGGAUGAGAACAACAGAAAGUCCAUCUGAAUUCAGACCAGUAGGAAUGGACCUAUGCGACCGAAUAAAGUCAAUAUUUUUUCUUUC